Molecule: ribosomal RNA, 508 nt
Filed under: uncultured bacterium
Lineage: Bacteria
Description: partial 16S ribosomal RNA
Rfam family: Bacterial small subunit ribosomal RNA
Source: RNAcentral
AUUGAACGCUGGCGGCAUGCCUUACACAUGCAAGUCGAACGGCAGCGGGGGAGAAGCUUGCUUUUCCUGCCGGCGAGUGGCGAACGGGUGAGUAAUACAUCGGAACGUGCCCUGUAGUGGGGGAUAACUAGUCGAAAGAUUAGCUAAUACCGCAUACGACCUGAGGGUGAAAGUGGGGGACCGCAAGGCCUCAUGCUAUAGGAGCGGCCGAUGUCUGAUUAGCUAGUUGGUGGGGUAAGGGCCUACCAAGGCGACGAUCAGUAGCUGGUCUGAGAGGACGAUCAGCCACACUGGGACGGAGACACGGCCCAGACUCCUACGGGAGGCAGCAGUGGGGAAUUUUGGACAAUGGGCGAAAGCCUGAUCCAGCAAUGCCGCGUGUGUGAAGGAGGCCUUCGGGUUGUAAAGCACUUUUGUCCGGAAAGAAAUGGCUCUGGUUAAUACCUGGGGUCGAUGACGGUACCGGAAGAAUAAGGACCGGCUAACCACGUGCCAGCAGCCGCCGUAA